RNAcentral lists this long non-coding RNA (295 nucleotides) under Homo sapiens (human). RNAcentral describes it as "non-protein coding lnc-CSRNP1-2:5". The record is from RNAcentral. Lineage: Eukaryota; Metazoa; Chordata; Mammalia; Primates; Hominidae.
GGAAGGUAGCAAGAGGCCAUGGAGUGAACCCUGAGAAUGUCCGGAACAGUUCAUGCCAGACAUGUGUUCUGGCUGGCACACUGGGAGUGCUGAUGGUUCCUGAAAUGGGGGAGAGGGCUACUUGGAGAGUCCCAGGGUUGGCGCAGUGACUGUGGUCUUUGCUGUGGGAUAGGUGCAGGAGAACUCCCCAGCCCAGCAGGCGGGCCUGGAGCCCUACUUUGACUUCAUCAUCACCAUUGGGCACUCGAGGCUGAACAAGGAGAAUGACACCCUGAAGGCACUACUGAAAGCCAAU